Molecule: ribosomal RNA, 333 nt
Filed under: uncultured bacterium
Lineage: Bacteria
Description: bacterial SSU rRNA
Rfam family: Bacterial small subunit ribosomal RNA
Source: RNAcentral
GACGAACGCUGGCGGCGUGCCUAACACAUGCAAGUCGAACGGAGUUAAACGCUGAAUUGAAGAUAGCUUGCUAUAAGAUUUUCUUGUUUAACUUAGUGGCGGACGGGUGAGUAACGCGUGAGCAACCUGCCUUACAGAGGGGGACAACAGUUGGAAAUGACUGCUAAUACCGCAUAAGCGCACAGUGCUGCAUGGCACAGUGUGAAAAACUCCGGUGGUAUGAGAUGGACCCGCGUCUGAUUAGCUAGUUGGUGGGGUAACGGCUACCAAGGCGACGAUCAGUAGCCGGCCUGAGAGGGUGAACGGCCACAUUGGGACUGAGACACGGCCCAA